GAUUAACGCUGGCGGCGUGCAUAACACAUGCAAGUCGAACGAUGAAACUUAAAUGAUUUCUUCGGAAUGAACUUAAGUGGAUUAGUGGCGGACGGGUGAGUAACGCGUGAGUAACCUGCCUUACACAAGGGGAUAGCCGUUGGAAACGACGAAUAAUACCCUAUGAAACUAUCACUUCGCAUGAAGCGAUAGUCAAAGUGUUAGCGGUGUAAGAUGGACUUGCGUCUGAUUAGCUAGUUGGUGAGAAAAAAGCCCACCAAGGCAACGAUCAGUAGCCGGCUUGAGAGAGUGUACGGCCACAUUGGGACUGAGACACGGCCCAGACUCCUACGGGAGGCAGCAGUGGGGAAUUGUGCACAAUGGGGGAAACCCUGAUGCAGCGACGCCGCGUGAUUGAGAAGGCCUUCGGGUUGUAAAAAUCUUUUGUAUAGGAAGAAAAUGACAGUACUAUACGAAUAAGGUCCGGCUAAUUACGUG
RNAcentral lists this ribosomal RNA (477 nucleotides) under uncultured bacterium. Its description in RNAcentral is "partial 16S ribosomal RNA". It matches the Rfam family "Bacterial small subunit ribosomal RNA", at positions 28 to 507 of the family's 1533-position model. The record is from RNAcentral.